Long non-coding RNA from Hippocampus comes (tiger tail seahorse), 735 nucleotides. RefSeq lists it as uncharacterized. Lineage: Eukaryota; Metazoa; Chordata; Actinopteri; Syngnathiformes; Syngnathidae. The record is from RefSeq and is a predicted model, not a curated record. The transcript is spliced from 2 exons.
UUUUAUUUCAUGCAACCACUUGAUCUAAUAAAAUUCAACAAAUAUAUUUUUUUCACGGUGUUAUUGUAACUUUUCUGUCGCUCCAGACUUCCUCACGCAGUAUCCGAGUUCCUCUCUGGGUAGCCUGGCAAAGGUUUCAUGUAGAAUGACAAAGCCACAAUGCAGCUCCUUUUGCUUCUCCCUCAACACCCUCAAGACAAAUAAAUGCAUCUGUGGCAUUCUUCCACGACAUGAAACCAAAUCCUCAUUUCUGCGCAAAAACCUUCGCGGCCGCGUGUCCUAGAUGCUUCCAUUCUUCCGCCGGUUCCACCACCAAAUCUACUUCUCCAAAGCUCAAGGACUCUCCUGCCUGUCUCCCUACUCCCCGUAGCUGUAGUGGCGGUAAUGCUGUUUUCCACGAUUUGACAUCUUUUAAAACUUGAGCGAUAGCCAUGCAUGAAAUCACACAAGCACGUCGUGCCAAACCAUAGCAAAACAUUAAAACAAACAUCCGAUGAUUUGCUUUGAGUUUUUCCAUUUCCUUUUAUUUUAUGCAAAAUCGACUCCAAGAAAUGGACUGCCAUCAUGCAUGACUUCACACAAGAAUGUUAGCUUGUCGUGUCAGACCAUAGCUCAUCAAGCAUUCAAGGAUUCAGUCUUCUUUUUGCUUUUUUUUUUUUUAAUAGUCUUUUUUGGGGGCAGGCAUUUGCAACGCUUACUCCAAGACAGCAUGUCACAAUAAAACAUUUUGCCAGA